UGGGAUGUAGCUCAGUGGUAGAGUGCUCAUCUGACAUGCAAGAGGCCCUGGGUUCGAUCCUCCGCACCACAU
This 72-nucleotide transfer RNA is filed under the name Mesocricetus auratus (golden hamster). It matches the Rfam family "tRNA". Rfam says of the family: Transfer RNA (tRNA) molecules are approximately 80 nucleotides in length. Their secondary structure includes four short double-helical elements and three loops (D, anti-codon, and T loops). The record is from Rfam by way of RNAcentral. Lineage: Eukaryota; Metazoa; Chordata; Mammalia; Rodentia; Cricetidae.